Molecule: non-coding RNA, 28 nt
Filed under: Bombyx mori (domestic silkworm)
Lineage: Eukaryota; Metazoa; Arthropoda; Insecta; Lepidoptera; Bombycidae
Source: RNAcentral
UACUCUCGGAAGGUUGCAGGGAUACUCC